AAUAAAGUCACUGGAAGGAAAAAGGGGGGAGAGAGAGGCUUGGUGGUGCCAGGCCAAGAUUCCAGGGCUACGAUUCCAGGCCACAGUCCGGGUUAUACGAGAGAGUGGAAACGAAUGGAAGACGUGUCCUCCAAAGCCUGGGUGGCGCCUACAUCAGCCACAGGGCUUGAAUUCUGUAAAACAUUCAGACGUCAUGACUAUGUAACCUGAGACAGCCUUAAUUCCUAGGUUUGUUGGUUCUAAAUUCAUCUUUCCAAACGAUCUGAGGCACUCCCUGGUAUUUUGCUCCUCCUCCUACCUGCCCCCUGCGUCCUCACCUCCACCCCUGCCUGGACCCAGCUACCACGGCUGCCUCAUGUCAUCCUGAACCAGCAUUUGCCUCUGUUCAGCAGGAGGGACAAGAUGCUAAAGACAAGUAGGGCUCAAGUUUGUCCAUGCCUCGUCAAUCCCCAAUCCUCCCAGCCCUACUGAACUCAGAAGUACCAACCGCGAAGGUUCUGUUUGAUGGUUCCCAUCAAGGAUAAAACUGAAAAUAGAAAGCCUUCAGUUGCUGACUGUGAGAUAAACUCGCCUAAGCAGCCUGCCAAAAGCAGCAGAUCAUAUGAAAAGCCACAUGACUAACCAGAAAUAAUUGGAGCUUAAAAGAUGCCAGAGUCGAUGAGUAAGAUUUCUUUCAACAAAAGAUUUACUUAAAGCAAAUUCACCCACUCACAAGUUCUUAAGUGCCAUCAUCUUUUAACCUUGGGAUAUUUCACUUGCUCUGGUGUGGUUUCAUUGACACAGAAAUGUCAGCCUUUAAUGGCUAUAACUAGUUGUCUAUUUAUUUCUCUGUUCAACAUAUCUUCAAAGUUUA
This is a long non-coding RNA of Manis pentadactyla (Chinese pangolin), 853 nucleotides long. RefSeq lists it as uncharacterized. The record is from RefSeq and is a predicted model, not a curated record. The transcript is spliced from 2 exons. NCBI's taxonomy places the organism in Eukaryota, Metazoa, Chordata, Mammalia, Pholidota, Manidae.